Molecule: transfer RNA, 89 nt
Filed under: Leifsonia sp. Leaf264
Lineage: Bacteria; Bacillati; Actinomycetota; Actinomycetes; Micrococcales; Microbacteriaceae
Description: tRNA-Leu
Rfam family: tRNA
About the family: Transfer RNA (tRNA) molecules are approximately 80 nucleotides in length. Their secondary structure includes four short double-helical elements and three loops (D, anti-codon, and T loops).
Source: RNAcentral
GCUCACCUGGUGGAACAGGUAGACACGCUGGUCUGAGGGGCCAGUGCGCAGGAAUGCGCGUGCGGGUUCGACCCCCGCGGUGAGCACAA